UAUGCAUCUUAGAAGGCUUGCCAAACUAGAGAGAGCAAAGGAGGCAAAGAAGAGUGCAUUUUAAGUGUUUUCCAGAUUGGAGAAGAUGGCUUCCGGAUUGGACUGCAAAGGGAAAUUACCUUCCGGAAUGAAGACUGAGGCCAGCCACUUGCUGUUCGCGCUCAGCCAAUCUGCACCAGAUUUCAGCUUUUGAAAAACGCACGUUUUUAAUGUUUUUUGCAUGGAACUUGCAGCCCAAACUAAGUAGCGUCUUAGAUAAUCUUCUUUAGUGAUCUUAGAAGCUUGGAAAGUCAGAUUUAGAGCUCUCUCUUCACCUAUAAAAGAGAGGUGCAUCUCCAUGUAAAAUAUAACUUUGAUGAGAUAAUGAAAUGUUGUUGAGUUUACUCCAAUUAUAUUCUCAGAGUUCAAAACUUCUAGUGCUAAUUUCGCACCUCUUCCUCUAGCUUCCUUCCCCUUUGGAAGACCUUCUGAGCUUGAGAAACCUCACACACUCAUCCAACCUCCACUGAACCUUUCAUCAAACACUUGGCGUGCACUAGAAACUUCCUCCAUUUCUCCAACUCCGUUGCAUCUGUUUUGAUCCGUGAAGAGCUCUAACUUGAAGAGUGGAGCUGCUUCCAUCAUUUGGCAUCAAGAACCAGCACGUCCACGCAUUGCUUCAAGAGCUAAGUUGCUCUUACCUCCAUAUUUUUGUUUGACCGUGUGCAGUGUAGUGCUCACUGUUUUCCAAAUAUUUUUCAUUUCAGUUUUGAUUCAAUUCGUGUUUGUUGUUGUUAUACUUGUGCCUUGAGUGUUCCGUAGUAUGUUUUCAUGAUUUUAAUAGGUGCCAUUCAUUUGUUUGAGUUUCAUUCCAGCUUUAAUUUCCAUUUUCCAGUUUUGUCACGUCAUGUGCCUUGUGUGCAAUUUUAAAUUCUGUCAUCAAGUGUUUGACUUUGUUCCAGCAAUGUUUUUGUUUUCAAAUGAGUUUCCAGUGCAUUUGUAGCCAUAUACGAAUCAUAUAAGGCAGUGAGACAAUGUCUAGCCUUGAUUAUAUGUGUGCUAAAUCAGUGAAAACAUAUUUCUGUUUCCCAAAUUCUGCACAAUAUUUCAAAAACUGAUGCAAGUGCUAUAAUCUGCUUCAGACUAGAUUUCUUGCUUCUUAAGCUUUGUGCAAGUUUAUUUGGUGUUGUUAAGCAUUGCUAGAAGUAUAGAAACUCAUAUUAAUCACAUAAUUACAAAAAGUGUAGUUGAGUUCAUAAAAAAUAUGCUAAAACAAUGUUGUCACUGUUUUCAGUCAAGAUUUUGUACCAUACUUGAUGUCUUUGAUUGUUCUUAGGCUUCAAAAAUCUGCUAGCUCAUAUUCUAUAACUAGAUCUAAUCCAUUAGGAUUUUCUUAAGCAUUUGAUUGAACCGUCCAACUUUGAUUCCACUUAAAUUUCAACUCUGCUCCAGUAUUGGUGCAUUUUUCUGCAUUUUUAAGCUACUGCUACUGUGAUUUGGUGAAUUUGUCUAUUUCAGUUCAGUUUAAACAAUUGUGCAAGUUUAUUUGGUCAUUUGAAACUUGUGUGCACUGUUCAUUUGGUCAAAUUUGAGCCUACAUGCAAAAUCACUUUCUAAACCAUCAAAUUUUGCUUAAAUGUGGAAGUGAACUAGUGAAUUUCGAGUGGAGUGUGAUUCCUUGCUGUUUCAGUUUUUAAAAACCUUCAAAUUGAUGAUAUAAAGUUGCUUCAAGCAUCACUUGAGAUUUAGAAAAACUGCCACUCAUUUUUGGGUUUGAAAGCACACUUUUAAAGCUACUUUUCUAGUGCAGUAACCAUUUUUUAGUGCUGUUUGAAAUUUCCAUUUCUUCAAAUCUCAUUUCUGGAUUGGCAAAAGCUAGGUUUGUGUUUCCAAAUGAAAAGAUAUGAUUAAAACAAUGUAAAACAUCCAUAAAAAGCAAAAGAAAACCAAGCAAUCCAAUUUUGAACCCCAAAACUAAAAAAUCACAAAAUCUGCACUUCUUUGGAGACUUUUAUCAAACAGUUACGUUUAUCAUCAAACACCUUACUACACUACUUUUGGCUCUUCAUUUUUUAUUUUUCUUGCUUUUUUAAUCUGAUCUAGUGCCUCUCCUAGGUUUCUUUUGUGUCCCUUCAUUGAUUCAAAGCUUAAAAAUACUUGAAAUCAACUUGUUUGACCUCCAAUUUGUGCCACCAAACCUGGUAUGCGAAUUUGAAUUCUGGUGCAGUGCAAAUUUUUGCUGUGAGUGGUUUAGUGUGUGGCAGGGUGUUCUGAUGUUUUGGUGAGGCUUCCAAGGUCCAGAAUCCUUGCUUCAGGGGUAGCAUACUAGGAAGUGGAAGGGUUGCUGAAUUGGACAAGGGAGUUGCUCUCAAAGUAGCACUUUUGCUCAAGAAUUCAGCAGCAUUUCACCAUCUUGCACCAUACUUUGCACCAAUUUUGGAGGGCUGCAACAGUCCAGUUUUUGCAACAACAUCAUUUGUAAAUUUUAAGCAUUGUAUCAAGUAUUUUCCAGCUUUGUAUCACAGAACAUUUGAAGUUUAAUUGCUUUUCCAUUUGCAACUCAAAGUGGCUUGGAAAAAAAUGUUUUUCAAGCAAUUCCAAGUGCACAAUUAAACUUUUUAAUAGCUUAGUUUCCACUUCUUAGUGUGAAAGUGUGUCAAGGGGCUCAAAAUCACUUUCACUUUCACUUAGGACUGAUUAGCAUUUUCCAUUUGCAUUCCUUUACUUUACUUUGCUUGCUUGACUUUUAUGUUUUAAGUCUCCGUGAUACAUAGGAGUGCGUUUCAUUUAGCCAAAUCUUUAUUUGAUUUCGAUGUGCAUUUCAUCUUGCAUUCAAAAGCUUUUGAAAGAUUUCUACCUAGAAACUAAGGUAAGAAACAACCAAAGACACUCUGGCUAAGAAGGACAAGGUUCUUAAGCUUGUCCAUUUGUGACUCACCUCUCCUUCCUAGGAGCUAUUUGGUUCAUUUUUACCUCUAGAAUCUUUCUAGAAAUCCUUCACCAAAAAUCUAAAAGGUUUGUGAAAAACUUUUAGAAAUAAAAUGUCUUAUUAUUCAUAUAUGUCGUCUAGUUCAUAUAUGUCAUCUCGGAUUGAUAAUGGGUACUAUAAUUCAUAUAUUAAGGAUGAUUUGUAUACUCAAGCUAGUAAACUUCCAUUCUUUGGUAAAGACAUAAAUGCCUUAACAUACCUAGUUUGGGAAAAAGAAAUUGAUAAAAUGCAUCCAUUCCUUGUUAGACAGAGUGAAAUUGAAUCCUAUAGUCCCAUUGUUCUUUCUAGAGAGUGUGAAUCUCGUGUUCUUAGUUUAUAUCGCUCUAGGUUAGAAAAGCCUGUACGUGAGUGGUGGGAUGAAAGGCAAUAUUGGGUUAAUAAAGGUAGAAAAUCCUCCAUUCAUGAUUGGUAUGAACUAAGAGCUUGCAUGAGAAGAAAGUUUGUGCCUCUUACAAUCAACAGAAACCUGGAACUAAUGAGAGAUAGUGUGAAAAUGGAAAAAUAUUUCUUGAGAGUUUAAAUGAUCAUGGUUUCUUUCGUAGAGAAAUAAAAUUUGGGGAAAUUUUCAAGAGUUAAAGGAUUAGAAAAGGGAAAGAGAGAUUAAAAGAAGAGAGGAAGAAAGAAAAGAAAAAGAAAGGAAAAAAGAAGAAGAAAGAGAGAACAAGAAAAAAGAGAAAGAGAAGAAAGAGAGAGAAGAACAUAAGUAAGAAAAGAAGAAGAGAGAAGAGAGAAAGAAGAGAGAGGGAGAGAAGACGAGAGAUAAAGGAAGAAGAGAGACGAGAAAGAGAAAGAAGAGAAGAGGAAAAGAAGAAAGCAGUGGAAAAUAGAGAGAAAGAGAAAUUGCUACAGGUGGCAAAUUCAACUCCUCCAAAAAUUAUGGAACCUAAAAGGGAAGGUUUUCAAUUCUUUACUUCUUUUCCAAUCAUUAUUGAGUCUUCAAAUAUUAACUUCUCUUUCAAACCAAUUGUCAUCCCAUAUUCUGUGCAAUCCUUUUCAAAAUAUGGCAAUUCGAAUCUUGAGUUAAUGUUACCCUUGUGGAAAUAAUUAACUCAAGAUAAAAGUCCAAUAACUUGUAAAUAUGAACUUCUAAAUUUUUCCACGAUUACUUCUAAGAAAAUCGUUUUCAAAAAUACAACCCCUUCAUUUUGUCUUCUUGUUUUUUAUUACAUCCUUUUAAUCAUAUUAAUUGUUGCUAUCUUUUGUAGAUAUAUUUUUUAUCCAGGAGGAAAACAACAACCAAAGUUAUGCUUCUUUCUAACUUUCCGAUUUGAGGACAAAUCGUUUUUAAAGAGGUCACCAUCAAAGCUUGGAAACCAUGCCUAUGCAUCUUAGAAGGCUUGCCAAACUAGAGAGAGUUAAGGACGAAAAGAAGAGUGCAUUUUAAGUGUUUUCCGGAUUGGAGAAGAUGGCUUCUGGAUUGGACUGCAAAGGGAAAUUACCUUCCGGAAUGAAGACUGAGCCCAACCACCUGCUGUUCGCGCUCAGCCAAUUUGCACCAAAUUUCAGCUUUUGAAAAACGCACAUUUUUAAUGUUAUUGGCAUGGAACUUGCAGCCCAAGCUGAGUAGCGUCUUAUAUACUCUUCUUUAGCAAUCUUAGAAGCUUGAAAAGUCAGAUUUAGAGCUCUCUUCACCUAUAAAAGAGAGGUGCAUCUACAUGUAAAAUCCAACUUUCAUGAGAGAAUGAAAUGUUGUUGAGUUUACUCUAGUCA
Molecule: long non-coding RNA, 4678 nt
Organism: Vigna angularis (adzuki bean)
Lineage: Eukaryota; Viridiplantae; Streptophyta; Magnoliopsida; Fabales; Fabaceae
Exons: 2
Source: RefSeq, a predicted model, not a curated record